CGUAGGGUGCGAGCGUUAAUCGGAAUUACUGGGCGUAAAGCGUGCGCAGGCGGUUUUGUAAGACAGAUGUGAAAUCCCCGGGCUCAACCUGGGACCUGCAUUUGUGACUGCAAGGCUAGAGUACGGUAGAGGGGGAUGGAAUUCCGCGUGCAGCAGUGAAAUGCGUAGAUAUGCGGAGGAACACCGAUGGCGAAGGCAAUCCCCUGGACCUGUACUGACGCUCAUGCACGAAAGCGUGGGGAGCAAACAGGAUUAGAUACCCUGGUAGUCCACGCCCUAAACGAUGUCAACUGGUUGUUGGGUCUUUACUGACUCAGUAACGAAGCUAACGCGUGAAGUUGACCGCCUGGGGAGUACGGCCGCAAGGUUG
This 370-nucleotide ribosomal RNA is filed under the name uncultured organism. Its description in RNAcentral is "bacterial SSU rRNA". It matches the Rfam family "Bacterial small subunit ribosomal RNA", at positions 526 to 896 of the family's 1533-position model. The record is from RNAcentral.